GGUUAAGGAAACCCGGAGCCGUAGCGAAAGCGAGUCUUAAUAGGGCGUAUAGUCAGAUGCUGCAGACCCGAAACGAUGUGAUCUAUCCAUGAGCAGGUUGAAACCGGUGUAAGAGCCGGUGGAGGACCGAACAGACGGCCGUUGAAAAGGCUCCUGAUGACUUGUGGAUAGGGGUGAAAGGCCAAUCAAACAUCGUGAUAGCUGGUUCUCUCCGAAAUAUAUUUAGGUAUAGCGUUGUGUAGUAACUUUGUGAGGUAGAGCACUGAAUGGGCUAGGGCAUACACCAAUGUACCAAACCCUAUCAAACUCCGAAUGCGCAAAGUGUAAUCACAGCAGUCAGGCGGCGAGUGAUAAAAUCCGUCGUCAAGAGGGGAACAACCCAGACUAACAGCUAAGGUCCCUAAAUCUCAUUUAAGUGGAAAACGAUGUGAAGUUACUUUAACAACCAGGAGGUUGGCUUAGAAGCAGCCAUCCUUUAAAGAAAGCGUAAUAGCUCACUGGUCUAGUGAUUUCGCGCGGAAAAUAUAACGGGGCUAAAAUGAGUACCGAAGCUUUAGACUUAGUUUUUAACUAAGUGGUAGGAGAGCGUUCUAUUCAGCGUUGAAGGUAUACCGGUAAGGAGUGCUGGAGCGGAUAGAAGUGAGCAUGCAGGCAUGAGUAGCGAUAAAAGGGGUGAGAAUCCCCUUCGCCGUAAACCCAAGGUUUCCUACGCGAUGCUCGUCAUCGUAGGGUUAGUCGGGUCCUAAGCAAAGUCCGAAAGGGGUAUGCGAUGGAAAAUCGGUUAAUAUUCCGAUACCAAUAUUAGUGUGCGAUGGAAGGACGCUUAAAGUUAGUGGAGCUAGCGGAUGGAAGUGCUAGUCUAAGGAUGUAGAUUAAGUGGUAGGCAAAUCCACCACUUUUUAUUCGAGAUCUUAAAGGCUCUCCAAAGUCUUCGGAUAGCGGGGAGAAUCCAUGAUACUAUCGAGCCAAGAAAAGUUUCUAAGUUUAGCUAAUAUUGCCCGUACCGUAAACCGACACAGGUGGGUGGGAUGAGUAUUCUAAGGCGCGUGGAAGAACUCUCUUUAAGGAACUCUGCAAAAUAGCACCGUAUCUUCGGUAUAAGGUGUGCCUAACUUUGUAUUAAGAUUUACUCCCAAAGCAAAGAAGGUUACAACAAAGAGUCCCUCCCGACUGUUUACCAUAAACACAGCACUCUGCUAACUCGUAAGAGGAUGUAUAGGGUGUGACGCCUGCCCGGUGCUCGAAGGUUAAUUGAUGGGGUUAGCAUUAGCGAAGCUCUUGAUCGAAGCCCGAGUAAACGGCGGCCGUAACUAUAACGGUCCUAAGGUAGCGAAAUUCCUUGUCGGUUAAAUACCGACCUGCAUGAAUGGCGUAACGAGAUGGGAGCUGUCUCAAAGAGGGAUCCAGUGAAAUUGUAGUGGAGGUGAAAAUUCCUCCUACCCGCGGCAAGACGGAAAGACCCCGUGGACCUUUACUACAGCUUGACACUGCUAUUUGGAUAAAGAUGCGCAGGAUAGGUGGGAGGCUUUGAUCCAUAGACUCCGGUUUAUGGUGAGCCAUUGUUGAGAUACCACUCUUCUUUAUUUGAGUAGCUAACUAGCUUGAUUAUAUCAUCAAGUAGGACAAUGUCUGGUGGGUAGUUUGACUGGGGCGGUCGCCUCCCAAAAUGUAACGGAGGCUUACAAAGGUUGGCUCAGAACGGUUGGAAAUCGUUCGUAGAGUAUAAAGGCAUAAGCCAGCUUAACUGCAAGACAUACACGUCAAGCAGAGACGAAAGUCGGUCUUAGUGAUCCGGUGGUUCUGUGUGGAAGGGCCAUCGCUCAAAGGAUAAAAGGUACCCCGGGGAUAACAGGCUGAUCUCCCCCAAGAGCUCACAUCGACGGGGAGGUUUGGCACCUCGAUGUCGGCUCAUCGCAUCCUGGGGCUGGAGCAGGUCCCAAGGGUAUGGCUGUUCGCCAUUUAAAGCGGUACGCGAGCUGGGUUCAGAACGUCGUGAGACAGUUCGGUCCCUAUCUGCCGUGGGCGUAAGAAGAUUGAGGAGAGUUGACCCUAGUACGAGAGGACCGGGUUGAACCAGCCACUGGUGUAUCAGUUGUUCUGCCAAGAGCAUCGCUGAGUAGCUAAGCUGGGAUGUGAUAAGAGCUGAAAGCAUCUAAGCUCGAAGCCAACUCCAAGAUGAAUCUUCUUUUAAGAGCUCUAGUAGACUACUAGUUUGAUAGGCUGGGUGUGUAAGUGAUGAAAGUCAUUUAGCUGACCAGUACUAAUAGCUCGUUUGCUUAUCUUUAU
This 2286-nucleotide ribosomal RNA is filed under the name Campylobacter hyointestinalis subsp. lawsonii. RNAcentral describes it as "bacterial LSU rRNA". It matches the Rfam family "Bacterial large subunit ribosomal RNA", at positions 644 to 2925 of the family's 2925-position model. The record is from RNAcentral. Lineage: Bacteria; Pseudomonadati; Campylobacterota; Epsilonproteobacteria; Campylobacterales; Campylobacteraceae.